AACGAACGCUGGCGGCGUGUUUAAGACAUGCAAGUCGCACGGGACUAUUUGAGUAGCAAUACAAGGAUAGUUUAGUGGCGCACGGGUGAGUAACACGUGAAUUACAUGCCCUGCAGAGGGGGAUAGCCCAGGGAAACUUGGAUUAAUACCCCAUGGUAUCGCGAGAUUAAAGGUGGCAGCAAGGCUGUCGCUGCAGGAUUGGUUCGCGCCCUAUCAGCUCGUUGGUGAGGUAACGGCUCACCAAGGCUACGACGGGUACCUGGUCUGAGGGGACGAUCAGGCACACUGGAACUGAGACACGGUCCAGACACCUACGGGUGGCAGCAGUCGAGAAUAAUUCACAAUGGGGGCAACCCUGAUGGUGCAACGCCGCGUGGAGGAUGAAGGUCUUCGGAUUGUAAACUCCUGUCAUCCGGGAGUAAGACCUGGCGAUGAAUAGUCGACAGGGUUGAUAGUACCGGAAGAGGAAGGGACGGCUAACUUCGUGCCAGCCGCCGCUGUAA
Molecule: ribosomal RNA, 503 nt
Filed under: uncultured bacterium
Lineage: Bacteria
Description: partial 16S ribosomal RNA
Rfam family: Bacterial small subunit ribosomal RNA
Source: RNAcentral